GAUGAACGCUGGCGGCGUGCCUAAUACAUGCAAGUCGAGCGAACAGAUAAGGAGCUUGCUCCUUUGAAGUUAGCGGCGGACGGGUGAGUAACACGUGGGUAACCUACCUAUAAGACUGGGAUAACUUCGGGAAACCGGAGCUAAUACCGGAUAACAUUUAGAACCGCAUGGUUCUAAAGUGAAAGAUGGUUUUGCUAUCACUUAUAGAUGGACCCGCGCCGUAUUAGCUAGUUGGUAAGGUAACGGCUUACCAAGGCGACGAUACGUAGCCGACCUGAGAGGGUGAUCGGCCACACUGGAACUGAGACACGGUCCAGACUCCUGCGGGAGGCAGCAGUAGGGAAUCUUCCGCAAUGGGCGAAAGCCUGACGGAGCAACGCCGCGUGAGUGAUGAAGGGUUUCGGCUCGUAAAACUCUGUUAUUAGGGAAGAACAAAUGUGUAAGUAACUGUGCACAUCUUGACGGUACCUAAUCAGAAAGCCACGGCUAACUACGUG
Molecule: ribosomal RNA, 497 nt
Filed under: uncultured bacterium
Lineage: Bacteria
Description: partial 16S ribosomal RNA
Rfam family: Bacterial small subunit ribosomal RNA
Source: RNAcentral